CCUACGGGGGGCAGCAGUGGGGAAUAUUGGACAAUGGGGGGAACCCUGAUCCAGCCAUGCCACGUGUGUGAAGAAGGCCCUCGGGUUGUAAAGCACUUUCAGUGAGGAAGAACGCCUGGUGGUUAAUACCCAUCAGGAAAGACAUCACUCACAGAAGAAGCACCGGCUAACUCCGUGCCAGCAGCCGCGGUAAUACGGAGGGUGCGAGCGUUAAUCGGAAUUACUGGGCGUAAAGCGCGCGUAGGUGGCUUGAUAAGCCGGUUGUGAAAGCCCCGGGCUCAACCUGGGAACGGCAUCCGGAACUGUCAAGCUAGAGUGCAGGAGAGGAAGGUAGAAUUCCCGGUGUAGCGGUGAAAUGCGUAGAGAUCGGGAGGAAUACCAGUGGCGAAGGCGGCCUUCUGGACUGACACUGACACUGAGGUGCGAAAGCGUGGGUAGCAAACAGGAUUAGAUACCCGAGUAGUC
This 465-nucleotide ribosomal RNA is filed under the name Vreelandella stevensii. RNAcentral's name for it is "partial 16S ribosomal RNA". It matches the Rfam family "Bacterial small subunit ribosomal RNA", at positions 338 to 795 of the family's 1533-position model. Lineage: Bacteria; Pseudomonadati; Pseudomonadota; Gammaproteobacteria; Oceanospirillales; Halomonadaceae. The record is from RNAcentral.